Molecule: long non-coding RNA, 1785 nt
Organism: Cyanistes caeruleus (blue tit)
Lineage: Eukaryota; Metazoa; Chordata; Aves; Passeriformes; Paridae
Source: Ensembl
UAACAGAGUCACAGAAUAUCCUGGGUUGGAAAGGACCCACAAGGGUCAUCGCGUCCAGCUCCUGGCCUGCACAGCGCCAUACCCGAGAGUCACACCCUGUGCCUGGUAGCGUUGUCCAGACGCUCCCUGAGCUCUGUCAGGCUGGUGCUGUGACCACUGCCCUGGGGAGCCUGUUCAGUGCCCAAACACCCUCUGGGGGAAGAACCUGUUUCUAAUACCCAACCUAAACCUCUCCUGACACAGCUUCAGGCCAUUCCCUUGUGUCCUGUCACAAGGGCCACCACAGAGAUCAGUGUGUGCCACUGUUCUUCCCCUCACAAGAAGUUGUAACUGCAGUGAGGUCUUUCCUCAGUCUCCUCCAGGCUGGACAGGCCAAGUGACCUCAGCUGCUCCUCACACAGCUUCCCCUCAAGGCCCUUCACCAUCUUGGCUGCCCUCGUUUGGAUGCUCUCUUAGUAUCUUUUUUAUAUUGUGGUGCCCAAAACUGUGCACAGCUCUUGCGGUGAGGCCAACCAGUGCACAGCAGAGGGGACAAUCCCCUCCCUUGCCCAGCUGGUGACGCUGUGCCUGAUGCCCCCCAGGACAGGGUUGGCCCUCCUGGCUUCCAGGGCACUGCUGGCUCAUGUUCAACUUGCCAUCGACCAGGAUACCCAGAUCCCUGCUGGACCAGUACCAUGGCACUGCUCUCCAGCUUCUCAUUCCCCAGUCUGUAUGUACUAUGAUCAGGGUUGCCGCAUCCCUGGGGCAGCAGUCCUGCACUGCAGACGAUAUUUGCAACUGGUCACUAUAGAAUUGACACUACAGAAAGAACGUUACCCAGACACUGGAAAGCACUGCUGCCUGAUUUUCCACACAGAAACAUCACCUGUGAACACCUGGGCAUGGGCAGCACCCUCACUGAUGCACCAGAAGACAUGCUGAGUGCCAGGCAGCUGAUCACCCAUGACAGGUACUGGGAAUUGCAUGUCUCCAUCACAGACCCUGCCCACUCUCUUCCCCUCCGUGCAUCAGCCAUAGAUCAAGGCUGACAUGUCACCUGCUGACACACAGCUCCAGCAACAAGUAGAGUGCAGGAAAGUACAAAAAUGUCAGGUAUGUCGACCAACAAGGUUGGUUUUCAAGGGACACUCACUGCUCCACGUGUCUCUGUGGCCCGUGUUUCGGUAGUCAGUGAAGAGGCAAACGAAACUGUCCAGCAAUAGUAUCACUGUGACCUAGGCAAAGAGGCAUUUUCACAAAACAUGUUAGGUCAGCAGGAAUGAGCCAGCACAGGGGCAAAACACAAAGAAAUGGCAUCCUCACAUGCACUGCUUGCUUUCUGGAAAAAAAAACCAAACAACAAACCCACAACUUUUUUGCUUGGGUCUGAGCUCCUGCAGCUAAAAUAGCUGUUGAGUGAGCCAGGGCUCCACCGUAGUCAGCUGCAAGCUGCAUCUCUGAGGUGAUGCAGGCACUGUAUCUGCAAAGCUGCUAGCCGUCCCCUCUGCCGGUUUGCCCUCCUCAGGAACCACCUCCCAAAAAGCCCACCAGGGACAGGCCUUCAUUGCACCUGUCCUUCCAGCUUACAGCUGUUCUGCAGCAAGGGGAUGGGGUCAGAUUCUGGAGGGAGAGAGGGAGGCAAAGCCACCUGCAAUGCAAACAAGCUACUGCUGUGGGAAGAAGCCAGGCAGCAAAGGAAGGAUGAUUUACUGACACAAGCUAAGCCAAUAUAAACACUUAUGAUACAGGUGCCUGUGCUCUCAGAUACUGCCUGACUUAAUUCAAUUGUUUUGUAACCCGAUUUAG